This 442-nucleotide ribosomal RNA is filed under the name uncultured bacterium. RNAcentral's name for it is "partial 16S ribosomal RNA". It matches the Rfam family "Bacterial small subunit ribosomal RNA", at positions 338 to 795 of the family's 1533-position model. The record is from RNAcentral.
CCUACGGGUGGCAGCAGUGGGGAAUAUUGGGCAAUGGGCGAAAGCCUGACCCAGCAACGCCGCGUGAAGGAAGAAGGCUUUCGGGUUGUAAACUUCUUUUGACAGGGAAGAGCAGAAGACGGUACCUGUCGAAUAAGCCACGGCUAACUACGUGCCAGCAGCCGCGGUAAUACGUAGGUGGCAAGCGUUAUCCGGAUUUACUGGGUGUAAAGGGAGCGUAGACGGCAGUGCAAGUCUGGAGUGAAAGGCGGGGGCUCAACCCCCGGACUGCUCUGGAAACUGUACGGCUGGAGUGCAGGAGAGGUAAGUGGAAUUCCUAGUGUAGCGGUGAAAUGCUUAGAUAUCACGAAGAACUCCGAUUGCGAAGGCAGCUUACUAAACUGCCACUGACAUUGAUGCUCGAAAGUGUGGGUAUCAAACAGGAUUAGAUACCCGGGUAGUC